This 67-nucleotide transfer RNA is filed under the name Psammophis lineolatus. RNAcentral describes it as "tRNA-Lys". Lineage: Eukaryota; Metazoa; Chordata; Lepidosauria; Squamata. The record is from RNAcentral.
CACUGAGAAGCUUUUACACCUAAGCAUCGGCCUUUUAAGCCGAAGAAGAAACCACUUUCCUCAGUGA